RNAcentral lists this transfer RNA (74 nucleotides) under bacterium. RNAcentral's name for it is "tRNA-Ile". It matches the Rfam family "tRNA". From Rfam's summary of the family: Transfer RNA (tRNA) molecules are approximately 80 nucleotides in length. Their secondary structure includes four short double-helical elements and three loops (D, anti-codon, and T loops). The record is from RNAcentral.
GGGGAUGUAGCUCAGUUGGUUAGAGCAGGACUCUUAUAUGGUCAAGGUCGUAGGUUCAAUUCCUACCGUCCCUA